GAUGAACGCUGGCGGCGUGCCUAAUACAUGCAAGUCGAGCGAACAGACGAGGAGCUUGCUCCUCUGACGUUAGCGGCGGACGGGUGAGUAACACGUGGAUAACCUACCUAUAAGACUGGGGUAACUUCGGGAAACCGGAGCUAAUACCGGAUAAUAUAUUGAACCGCAUGGUUCAAUAGUGAAAGACGGUUUUGCUGUCACUUAUAGAUGGAUCCGCGCCGCAUUAGCUAGUUGGUAAGGUAACGGCUUACCAAGGCAACGAUGCGUAGCCGACCUGAGAGGGUGAUUGGCCACACUGGAUCUGAGACACGGUCCAGACUCCUACGGGAGGCAGCAGUAGGGAAUCUUCCGCGAUGGGCGAAAGCCUGACCGAGCAACGCCGCGUGAGUGAUGAAGGUCUUCGGAUCGUAAAACUCUGUUAUUAGGAAAGAACAAAUGUGUAAGUAACUAUGCACGUCUUGACGGUACCUAAACAGAAAGCCACGGCUAACUACGUG
This 497-nucleotide ribosomal RNA is filed under the name uncultured bacterium. RNAcentral's name for it is "partial 16S ribosomal RNA". It matches the Rfam family "Bacterial small subunit ribosomal RNA", at positions 28 to 507 of the family's 1533-position model. The record is from RNAcentral.